AUUGAACGCUGGCGGCAGGCCUAACACAUGCAAGUCGAACGAGUGGCGGACGGGUGAGUAAUGUCUGGGAAACUGCCCGAUGGAGGGGGUUAACUACUGGAAACGGUAGCUAAUACCGCAUACCAUCGGAUGUGCCCAGAUGGGAUUAGCUAGUAGGUGGGGUAACGGCUCACCUAGGCGACGAUCCCUAGCUGGUCUGAGAGGAUGACCAGCCACACUGGAACUGAGACACGGUCCAGACCACUACGGGAGGCAGCAGUGGGGAAUAUUGCACAAUGGGCGCAAGCCUGAGGCAGCCAUGCCGGGUGUAUGAAGAAGGCCGUCGGGUUGUAAAGUACUUUCAGCGAGGAGGCGUUACUCACAGAAGAAGCACCGGCUAACUCAGUGCCAGCAGCCGCGGUAAUAC
RNAcentral lists this ribosomal RNA (406 nucleotides) under uncultured bacterium. Its description in RNAcentral is "partial 16S ribosomal RNA". It matches the Rfam family "Bacterial small subunit ribosomal RNA", at positions 30 to 526 of the family's 1533-position model. The record is from RNAcentral.